RNAcentral lists this ribosomal RNA (1318 nucleotides) under Staphylococcus aureus. RNAcentral's name for it is "partial 23S ribosomal RNA". It matches the Rfam family "Bacterial large subunit ribosomal RNA", at positions 1603 to 2925 of the family's 2925-position model. Lineage: Bacteria; Bacillati; Bacillota; Bacilli; Caryophanales; Staphylococcaceae. RNAcentral also lists the same sequence under 2 other names. The record is from RNAcentral.
CACUGCCGAGAAAAGCCUCUAGAUAGAAAAUAGGUGCCCGUACCGCAAACCGACACAGGUAGUCAAGAUGAGAAUUCUAAGGUGAGCGAGCGAACUCUCGUUAAGGAACUCGGCAAAAUGACCCCGUAACUUCGGGAGAAGGGGUGCUCUUUAGGGUUAACGCCCAGAAGAGCCGCAGUGAAUAGGCCCAAGCGACUGUUUAUCAAAAACACAGGUCUCUGCUAAACCGUAAGGUGAUGUAUAGGGGCUGACGCCUGCCCGGUGCUGGAAGGUUAAGAGGAGUGGUUAGCUUCUGCGAAGCUACGAAUCGAAGCCCCAGUAAACGGCGGCCGUAACUAUAACGGUCCUAAGGUAGCGAAAUUCCUUGUCGGGUAAGUUCCGACCCGCACGAAAGGCGUAACGAUUUGGGCACUGUCUCAACGAGAGACUCGGUGAAAUCAUAGUACCUGUGAAGAUGCAGGUUACCCGCGACAGGACGGAAAGACCCCGUGGAGCUUUACUGUAGCCUGAUAUUGAAAUUCGGCACAGCUUGUACAGGAUAGGUAGGAGCCUUUGAAACGUGAGCGCUAGCUUACGUGGAGGCGCUGGUGGGAUACUACCCUAGCUGUGUUGGCUUUCUAACCCGCACCACUUAUCGUGGUGGGAGACAGUGUCAAGCGGGCAGUUUGACUGGGGCGGUCGCCUCCUAAAAGGUAACGGAGGCGCUCAAAGGUUCCCUCAGAAUGGUUGGAAAUCAUUCAUAGAGUGUAAAGGCAUAAGGGAGCUUGACUGCGAGACCUACAAGUCGAGCAGGGUCGAAAGACGGACUUAGUGAUCCGGUGGUUCCGCAUGGAAGGGCCAUCGCUCAACGGAUAAAAGCUACCCCGGGGAUAACAGGCUUAUCUCCCCCAAGAGUUCACAUCGACGGGGAGGUUUGGCACCUCGAUGUCGGCUCAUCGCAUCCUGGGGCUGUAGUCGGUCCCAAGGGUUGGGCUGUUCGCCCAUUAAAGCGGUACGCGAGCUGGGUUCAGAACGUCGUGAGACAGUUCGGUCCCUAUCCGUCGUGGGCGUAGGAAAUUUGAGAGGAGCUGUCCUUAGUACGAGAGGACCGGGAUGGACAUACCUCUGGUGUACCAGUUGUCGUGCCAACGGCAUAGCUGGGUAGCUAUGUGUGGACGGGAUAAGUGCUGAAAGCAUCUAAGCAUGAAGCCCCCCUCAAGAUGAGAUUUCCCAACUUCGGUUAUAAGAUCCCUCAAAGAUGAUGAGGUUAAUAGGUUCGAGGUGGAAGCAUGGUGACAUGUGGAGCUGACGAAUACUAAUCGAUCGAAGACUUAAUCAA